This 482-nucleotide ribosomal RNA is filed under the name uncultured bacterium. RNAcentral describes it as "partial 16S ribosomal RNA". It matches the Rfam family "Bacterial small subunit ribosomal RNA", at positions 30 to 507 of the family's 1533-position model. The record is from RNAcentral.
AUUGAACGUUGGCGGCAUGCCUUACACAUGCAAGUCGAACGGUAACAGGUCUUCGGAUGCUGACGAGUGGCGAACGGGUGAGUAAUACAUCGGAACGUGCCUAGUAGUGGGGGAUAACUACUCGAAAGAGUGGCUAAUACCGCAUGAGAUCUACGGAUGAAAGCAGGGGAUCGCAAGACCUUGUGCUACUAGAGCGGCCGAUGGCAGAUUAGGUAGUUGGUGGGAUAAAAGCUUACCAAGCCGACGAUCUGUAGCUGGUCUGAGAGGACGAUCAGCCACACUGGGACUGAGACACGGCCCAGACUCCUACGGGAGGCAGCAGUGGGGAAUUUUGGACAAUGGGCGCAAGCCUGAUCCAGCAAUGCCGCGUGCAGGAUGAAGGCCUUCGGGUUGUAAACUGCUUUUGUACGGAACGAAAAGCCCUGGGUUAAUACCCUGGGGUCAUGACGGUACCGUAAGAAUAAGCACCGGCUAACUACGUG